Molecule: transfer RNA, 75 nt
Filed under: Capnocytophaga sputigena ATCC 33612
Lineage: Bacteria; Pseudomonadati; Bacteroidota; Flavobacteriia; Flavobacteriales; Flavobacteriaceae
Description: tRNA-Thr
Rfam family: tRNA
About the family: Transfer RNA (tRNA) molecules are approximately 80 nucleotides in length.
Source: RNAcentral
GCUGAUGUAGCUCAGGGGUAGAGCACUUCCUUGGUAAGGAAGAGGUCACGAGUUCAAAUCUCGUCAUCAGCUCAU